RNAcentral lists this ribosomal RNA (210 nucleotides) under Borreliella burgdorferi (Lyme disease spirochete). RNAcentral describes it as "partial 5S-23S ribosomal RNA intergenic spacer". The record is from RNAcentral. Lineage: Bacteria; Pseudomonadati; Spirochaetota; Spirochaetia; Spirochaetales; Borreliaceae.
AGUAAGUUAUUGCCAGGGUUUUUAUUUUAUACUUUAAACAUUGAUUUUAUUUUUUAUGUUUUUAGAUGUUCAUGUUUUUGAAUGUUUUAUUUAAAUAAUAUAAAAAAUAAAAUAUAUAUUGACAUGGAUUAAACAAAGAUAUAUAUUAUUCUAUGUUGCAUAAGCAAAUUGGCAAAAUAGAGAUGGAAGAUAAAAAUAUGGCAAAGAAAG